UGAGGAAUAUUGCGCAAUGGGCGAAAGCCUGACGCAGCGACGCCGCGUGGGGGAUGAAGGUUUUCGGAUUGUAAACCCCUUUCAUGAGGAAAGAUAAAGUGGGUAACCACUUGGACGGUACCUCAAGAAGAAGCCACGGCUAACUUCGUGCCAGCAGCCGCGGUAAUACGAAGGUGGCAAGCGUUGUUCGGAUUUACUGGGCGUAAAGAGCACGUAGGCGGUUGGGUAAGCCUCUUGGGAAAUCUCUCGGCCUAACCGAGAAAGUUCGAGGGGAACUACUCAGCUAGAGGACGGGAGAGGAGCGCGGAAUUCCCGGUGUAGCGGUGAAAUGCGUAGAUAUCGGGAAGAAGGCCGGUGGCGAAGGCGGCGCUCUGGAACGUGCCUGACGCUGAGGUGCGAAAGCGUGGGGAGCAAACAGG
Molecule: ribosomal RNA, 419 nt
Filed under: uncultured bacterium
Lineage: Bacteria
Description: bacterial SSU rRNA
Rfam family: Bacterial small subunit ribosomal RNA
Source: RNAcentral